UCCCUGGUGGCUUAGUGGUAAAGAAUCUGCCUGCCAACGCAGGAGACAUGGGUUCAAUCCCUAAUCCGGGAA
Transfer RNA from Ovis aries (sheep), 72 nucleotides. It matches the Rfam family "tRNA". From Rfam's summary of the family: Transfer RNA (tRNA) molecules are approximately 80 nucleotides in length. Their secondary structure includes four short double-helical elements and three loops (D, anti-codon, and T loops). Further hydrogen bonds mediate the characteristic L-shaped molecular structure. tRNAs have two regions of fundamental functional importance: the anti-codon, which is responsible for specific mRNA codon recognition, and the 3' end, to which the tRNAs corresponding amino acid is attached (by aminoacyl-tRNA synthetases). tRNAs cope with the degeneracy of the genetic code in two manners: having more than one tRNA (with a specific anti-codon) for a particular amino acid; and 'wobble' base-pairing, i.e. permitting non-standard base-pairing at the 3rd anti-codon position. The record is from Rfam. Lineage: Eukaryota; Metazoa; Chordata; Mammalia; Artiodactyla; Bovidae.